CUAACGACUCUCGGCAACGGAUAUCUCGGCUCACGCAUCGAUGAAGAACGUAGCAAAAUGCGAUACUUGGUGUGAAUUGCAGAAUCCCGUGAACCAUCGAGUUUUUGAACGCAAGUUGCGCCCAAAGCCAUCCGGCUGAGGGCACGCCUGCCUGGGCGUCACGC
RNAcentral lists this ribosomal RNA (164 nucleotides) under Launaea sarmentosa. RNAcentral describes it as "5.8S ribosomal RNA". It matches the Rfam family "5.8S ribosomal RNA". Rfam says of the family: 5.8S ribosomal RNA (5.8S rRNA) is a component of the large subunit of the eukaryotic ribosome. It is transcribed by RNA polymerase I as part of the 45S precursor that also contains 18S and 28S rRNA. Functionally, it is thought that 5.8S rRNA may be involved in ribosome translocation. The record is from RNAcentral. Lineage: Eukaryota; Viridiplantae; Streptophyta; Magnoliopsida; Asterales; Asteraceae.